RNAcentral lists this ribosomal RNA (266 nucleotides) under uncultured archaeon. RNAcentral's name for it is "partial 16S ribosomal RNA". It matches the Rfam family "Archaeal small subunit ribosomal RNA", at positions 718 to 982 of the family's 1478-position model. The record is from RNAcentral.
AGUCACUGACAUUAGAUACCCCCGUAGUCCAGGGUGUAAACGCUGCAGACUUGGUGUUGGGAACCCUUCGGGGGUGCUCAGUGCCGGAGAGAAGUUGUUAAGUCUGCUACUUGGGGAGUACGUCCGCAAGGAUGAAACUUAAAGGAAUCGGCGGGGGAGCACCGCAACGGGAGGAGCGUGCGGUUUAAUUGGAUUCAACGCCGAAAAACUCACCAGCAGCGACUGUUACAUGAAAGUCAGGUUGAUGACCUUACUAGAUUUUUCAG